Vicia faba (fava bean) is the source of this 270-nucleotide non-coding RNA. NCBI's taxonomy places the organism in Eukaryota, Viridiplantae, Streptophyta, Magnoliopsida, Fabales, Fabaceae. The record is from the annotation of a GenBank genome assembly.
AUGGUGGCAAGCUGCUUUGAUGAUGUAUGGCACGAGUUCGAAAGUCGCAGCAGGAUUGGUCAUGAAUUGGUUUUUUUUCUGAAUUGGUUUCUAUACACUAUUUUGUGCUACUUGACUGCUACAGCUGAUUUUAGUCGUCGUUUUGAGUAUACUUGGCUGCAAUCUGAAUUGUUCAACUAUUCUCUUUUGAACUUGUAUAUUGCAUGGACUGUUGUGACUGUAUGUUUCAAUUGCAAGCUUUUUGAACUGGUUAUAUUUGGAUUUGAAUAA